GACGAACGCUGGCGGCGUGCUUAACACAUGCCAGUCGAACGGAAAGGCCCCUUUGGGGGUACUCGAGUGGCGCACGGGUGAGUAACACGUGAGUAACCUGCCCUUGACUUCGGGAUAACUUCAGGAAACUGGGGCUAAUACCGGAUAGGAAUCCUUGCUGCAUGGUGGGGGUUGGAAAGCUUCGGCGGUUUUGGAUGGACUCGCGGCUUAUCAGCUUGUUGGUGGGGUAGUGGCUUACCAAGGCUUUGACGGGUAGCCGGCCUGAGAGGGCGACCGGCCACAUUGGGACUGAGAUACGGCCCAGACUCCGACGGGAGGCAGCAGUGGGGAAUAUUGCACAAUGGGCGGAAGCCUGAUGCAGCAACGCCGCGUGCGGGAUGACGGCCUUCGGGUUGUAAACCGCUUUCAGCAGGGGCGAAGCUUGUGGUGACGGUACCUGCAGAAGAAGCACCGGCUAACUACGUG
Molecule: ribosomal RNA, 465 nt
Filed under: uncultured bacterium
Lineage: Bacteria
Description: partial 16S ribosomal RNA
Rfam family: Bacterial small subunit ribosomal RNA
Source: RNAcentral